CAGAAAAUAGUUUAAUAAAAAUAAUAAUUUUGGAGAUUAUUGAUAAUAAGAAUUUAUUUUUUCUGA
Molecule: transfer RNA, 66 nt
Filed under: Inocellia hainanica
Lineage: Eukaryota; Metazoa; Arthropoda; Insecta; Raphidioptera; Inocelliidae
Description: tRNA-Pro
Source: RNAcentral